GACGAACGCUGGCGGCGUGCUUAACACAUGCAAGUCGAGCGGUAAGGCCCUUUCGGGGGUACGACGAGCGGCGAACGGGUGAGUAACACGUGGGUGACCUGCCCUCAGCUCUGGGAUAAGCCUGGGAAACCGGGUCUAAUACCGGAUAUGACUCCAUGACGCAUGUUGGUGGGGUGGAAAGCCUUGUGCGGCUGAGGAUGGGCCCGCGGCCUAUCAGCUUGUU
RNAcentral lists this ribosomal RNA (223 nucleotides) under uncultured bacterium. RNAcentral describes it as "partial 16S ribosomal RNA". It matches the Rfam family "Bacterial small subunit ribosomal RNA", at positions 28 to 250 of the family's 1533-position model. The record is from RNAcentral.